UUUCGCAAUGCCCGAAAGGGUGACGAAGCGACGCCGCGUGAGUGAGGAAGGCCUUCGGGUUGUAAAGCUCUGUCAGGAGUUAAGAAAUAUAAGUGUGCUAAUACCACAUUUAUUUGACAAAAGCUCCAAAGGAAGCCACGGCUAACUCUGUGCCAGCAGCCGCGGUAAUACAGAGGUGGCAAGCGUUGUUCGGAAUUAUUGGGCGUAAAGAGCACGUAGGUGGGUUUGUAAGUCAGGUGUGAAAGCCUUCUGUUCAAAGGAAGAACGGCAUCUGAAACUACAGAUCUUGAGUGUAGGAGGGGAGAGUGGAACUUCUGGUGGAGCGGUGAAAUGCGUAGAUAUCAGAAGGAACGUCGGCGGCGAAAGCGACUCUCUGGCCUAUUACUGACACUGAGGUGCGAAAGUUAGGGGAGCAAACGGGAUUAGAUACCCCGGUAGUCCUAACCGUAAACGAUGGGCACUAAGUAGAGGGGUUUUA
This 478-nucleotide ribosomal RNA is filed under the name uncultured anaerobic ammonium-oxidizing bacterium. RNAcentral's name for it is "bacterial SSU rRNA". It matches the Rfam family "Bacterial small subunit ribosomal RNA", at positions 364 to 833 of the family's 1533-position model. The record is from RNAcentral.